Molecule: transfer RNA, 69 nt
Filed under: Marmota marmota marmota (Alpine marmot)
Lineage: Eukaryota; Metazoa; Chordata; Mammalia; Rodentia; Sciuridae
Also listed under: 3 other names
Rfam family: tRNA
About the family: Transfer RNA (tRNA) molecules are approximately 80 nucleotides in length.
Source: Rfam by way of RNAcentral
GGGGUUGUGGCUCAGCGGUAGAGCACUUGCCUGGCAUGUGUGAGGUCCUGGGUUCAAAUCCUAGCACCA